Non-coding RNA from Cinara cedri, 332 nucleotides. NCBI's taxonomy places the organism in Eukaryota, Metazoa, Arthropoda, Insecta, Hemiptera, Aphididae. The record is from the annotation of a GenBank genome assembly.
UCCUAUUAUUAUUUCGUCUGUUUAUUUUUACGACCGUGUCGAAUAUACAAGCGCCGCCGAUACCGCGCCGUUAUCGCGCCGUUCCAUCAAAAUCGUAUUUGUCUCGUACCGUCGCGCCAUACGAACAGUUAUAGGAGUGCGAAAUAAUGUCUUUUAAAACGCAUCGGCUUCGUGUUUUAACAGUAAUUCGUUAUAAUUUAUCGUACUCGGAAACAUACGGAUAAUCGGUUCGUUUUUUCUCGCAAUCGAUUUCGACCGGUCGCAUCGUCGUCGUAUUAUUAUAUUAUUAUUACUAAUAUUUAAUUUACUGCGAUUUCCAACGUUAUCGUACU